AAAAAAAAAAAAAAAAAACCAAUUUCAUCAGCUAACAUUUUGUUCAGUCAUUCACCCUUAGAUCUCCUUUUAUAUUUGAAUAUUAUGAUGAGAUUUGCGUUAUUAGUUUUUAAGUUUAUUUCUUAGUAAGGUUUUAACCAUUUUCUAAUGUGCCAUGUUUGGUAUGCUGAGUAUAAUACAGGAAUACUGAGAAUGGCCACCUAUC
RNAcentral lists this unclassified non-coding RNA (205 nucleotides) under Hevea brasiliensis (rubber tree). Lineage: Eukaryota; Viridiplantae; Streptophyta; Magnoliopsida; Malpighiales; Euphorbiaceae. The record is from RNAcentral.